CCUGGCUCAGGAUGAACGCUGGCGGCGUGCCUAACACAUGCAAGUCGAACGGAGAUUUAACGCUGAUGAGGCUUCGGCGGAAUCUUGUUAAUCUAGUGGCGGACGGGUGAGUAACGCGUGGGCAACCUGCCUCGUACUGGGGGAUAACAGUUGGAAACGACUGUUAAUACCGCAUAAGCGCACGGUGUCGCAUGACACAGUGUGAAAAAACUCCGGUGGUACGAGAUGGGCCCGCGUCAGAUUAGCUAGUUGGUGGGGUAACGGCUCACCAAGGCGACGAUCUGUAGCCGGACUGAGAGGUCGGACGGCCACAUUGGGACUGAGACACGGCCCAAACUCCUACGGGAGGCAGCAGUGGGGGAUAUUGCACAAUGGGCGAAAGCCUGAUGCAGCGACGCCGCGUGAAGUGAAGAAGUAUUUCGGUAUGUAAAGCUCUAUCAGCAGGGAAGAAAGGCUCGAAAGAGAGAUGACGGUACCUGACUAAGAAGCCCCGGCUAACUACGUGCCAGCCGCUGC
Molecule: ribosomal RNA, 516 nt
Filed under: uncultured bacterium
Lineage: Bacteria
Description: bacterial SSU rRNA
Rfam family: Bacterial small subunit ribosomal RNA
Source: RNAcentral